GAGCUCGCUUGGGCAGCCCAUAUAUUAACAUUGGAACAAUACAGAGAUUAGCAUAGUCCCUGCGCAAGGAUGACGCACAAAUUCGUGAAGUGUUCCAUGUUUUU
Molecule: small nuclear RNA, 104 nt
Organism: Callithrix jacchus (white-tufted-ear marmoset)
Lineage: Eukaryota; Metazoa; Chordata; Mammalia; Primates; Cebidae
Source: Ensembl